Molecule: long non-coding RNA, 794 nt
Filed under: Coturnix japonica (Japanese quail)
Lineage: Eukaryota; Metazoa; Chordata; Aves; Galliformes; Phasianidae
Description: lncRNA (ENSCJPG00005000124.1)
Source: RNAcentral
AGAGAGUACUUUUGGUCACAUAAUGAGGAAGGACUGUGAUUUGUUUUGGUGGGUCAGAACGCAGAUACUUCAUCAGCGGUUUAUGCUCUGUUCAAGUAUGCUAAGAAUAUACCAUUUGUCAUUUAAAUGAGCUCAUUUUAAUGUGCAAUGAAGCAUGAUUCAUGUUUCCUUAUACAAUUUUAUUAGCCUUUUCAGUUUGGGUAUUUAUCUGUUGUUUUGCCUUUUCAGUGUAGACAUUUGGAUUAUUGGAAGCAGCCCAAGCAAAACUGAAUGAAUGGACGGCAUGCAGGUAUCAGGAAGGUUUAAAAUCAUUGGCAAGCCCGAAGGGAAAAUAUUUAAUCCUUAAGCAAACACGAUUUUAGUACCAUCAGCUCCUGACAGAAAUCCCCAAUUAGUAUAUCUUUUAUUUAUAAUGAUAUCGUAUGUCAUUGGUUUAUAAAGACAGUAUACCACAAAUGUGCGUGAGUAACAACAGAAAGCUUUAAAUAUUUAAUCUGUAUAAAUCACUGCAUUAUUUUCAUUCCAAACCGAUGUCAUUUUAAAACAUUAUUCAGUCCCAUCCAAGAAUCAUAGAAUCAUAAGGCUGGACAGGACCUAAAAGAUCAUCUAGUCCAACCAUCUUCCCUUUACCAUACCUACAGGAAACCCCUAAACCAUAUCAAUUUCAAUUUUGGGGCAGAAAUUUGGGGCAGAAUUUCAGUUUUGGGGCAUUUUGAAGUACUUGAGAAAAACAUUUUUAAGUGGAAGUUUCUGAGAAAAAAAGCACUAUAGAUUUCAAAGCCAAUAUGCAUCCA